This 1157-nucleotide ribosomal RNA is filed under the name uncultured organism. RNAcentral describes it as "bacterial SSU rRNA". It matches the Rfam family "Bacterial small subunit ribosomal RNA", at positions 232 to 1418 of the family's 1533-position model. The record is from RNAcentral.
UGCGGCCCAUCAGCUAGUUGGUAGGGUAACGGCCUACCAAGGCGAAGACGGGUAGGGGGCGUGAGAGCGUGACCCCCCACACUGGCACUGGGACACGGGCCAGACUCCUACGGGAGGCAGCAGUGAGGAAUAUUGCGCAAUGAGCGAAAGCUAGACGCAGCAACGCCGCGUGGGUGAUGAAGGCCUUCGGGUCGUAAAACCCUUUUCUGGGGGAAGAGUAAGGACGGUACCCCAGGAAUAAGCCUCGGCUAACUAUGUGCCAGCAGCCGCGGUAAUACAUAGGAGGCAAGCGUUAUCCGGAUUUACUGGGCGUAAAGAGCGUUGAGGCGGCUUCGUAAGUUGGACGUGAAAGCUCCCGGCUUAACUGGGAGAGGCCGUUCAAUACUGCGGGGCUUGAGGGCAGCAGGGGGGGGUGGAAUUUCCGGUGUAGUGGUGAAAUGCGUAGAUAUCGGAAGGAACACCAGUGGCGAAGGCGGCCCCCUGGGCUGCUCCUGACGCUGAAGGCGAAAGCUAGGGGAGCGAACGGGAUUAGAAACCCCGGUAGUCCUAGCCGUAAACGAUGGAUACUAGGUGUAGGAGGUUAAAAUUCCUUCUGUGCCGGAGCUAACGCGUUAAGUAUCCCGCCUGGGGAGUACGGUCGCAAGGCUAAAACUCAAAGGAAUUGACGGGGGCCCGCACAAGCAGCGGAGCGUGUGGUUUAAUUCGAUGCAACACGAAGAACCUUACCAGGGCUUGACAUGUAGGUAGUAGUGAAGCGAAAGCGGAACGAUCCUUCGGGAAGCCUACACAGGUGCUGCAUGGCUGUCGUCAGCUCGUGCCGUGAGGUGUUAGGUUAAGUCCUGUAACGAGCGCAACCCCUGCCGUUAGUUACAAGUGUCUAACGGGACUGCCCGGCAAAACUGGGAGGAAGGUGGGGAUGACGUCAAGUCAGCAUGGCCUUUAUGUCCUGGGCUACACACACGCUACAAUGGCCGGUACAAUGGGUUGCCAAGCCGCGAGGCGGAGCCAAUCCUCUAAAGCCGGUCUCAGUUCGGAUUGUAGGCUGCAACCCGCCUGCAUGAAGUUGGAGUUGCUAGUAACCGCAGGUCAGCUAUACUGCGGUGAUACGUUCCCGGGCACUUGUACACACCGCCCGUCACGUCAUGGAAGCUGGUAAC